GGUUAAGCGACUAAGCGUACACGGUGGAUGCCCUGGCAGUCAGAGGCGAUGAAGGACGUGCUAAUCUGCGAAAAGCGUCGGUAAGGUGAUAUGAACCGUUAUAACCGGCGAUGUCCGAAUGGGGAAACCCAGUGCAAUUCGUUGCACUAUCGUUAACUGAAUACAUAGGUUAACGAGGCGAACCGGGGGAACUGAAACAUCUAAGUACCCCGAGGAAAAGAAAUCAACCGAGAUUCCCCCAGUAGCGGCGAGCGAACGGGGAGCAGCCCAGAGUCUGAAUCAGCUUGUGUGUUAGUGGAACGGUCUGGAAAGUCCGACGGUACAGGGUGAUAGUCCCGUACACCAAAAUGCACAGGUUGUGAACUCGAAGAGUAGGGCGGGACACGUGGUAUCCUGUCUGAAUAUGGGGGGACCAUCCUCCAAGGCUAAAUACU
This 434-nucleotide ribosomal RNA is filed under the name Klebsiella pneumoniae. RNAcentral's name for it is "partial 23S ribosomal RNA". It matches the Rfam family "Bacterial large subunit ribosomal RNA", at positions 1 to 474 of the family's 2925-position model. RNAcentral also lists the same sequence under 3 other names. Lineage: Bacteria; Pseudomonadati; Pseudomonadota; Gammaproteobacteria; Enterobacterales; Enterobacteriaceae. The record is from RNAcentral.